This 460-nucleotide ribosomal RNA is filed under the name uncultured bacterium. Its description in RNAcentral is "partial 16S ribosomal RNA". It matches the Rfam family "Bacterial small subunit ribosomal RNA", at positions 338 to 795 of the family's 1533-position model. The record is from RNAcentral.
CCUACGGGAGGCAGCAGUGAGGAAUAUUGGUCAAUGGGCGAGAGCCUGAACCAGCCAAGUAGCGUGAAGGAUGACUGCCCUAUGGGUUGUAAACUUCUUUUAUAAAGGAAUAAAACGAGGCACGUGUGCCUUUUUGUAUGUACUUUAUGAAUAAGGAUCGGCUAACUCCGUGCCAGCAGCCGCGGUAAUACGGAGGAUCCGAGCGUUAUCCGGAUUUAUUGGGUUUAAAGGGAGCGUAGAUGGGUUGUUAAGUCAGUUGUGAAAGUUUGCGGCUCAACCGUAAAAUUGCAAUUGAUACUGGCAGGCUUGAGUACAGUUGAGGUAGGCGGAAUUCGUGGUGUAGCGGUGAAAUGCUUAGAUAUCACGAAGAACCCCGAUUGCGAAGGCAGCUUACUAAACUGUGACUGACAUUGAUGCUCGAAAGUGUGGGUAUCAAACAGGAUUAGAUACCCGAGUAGUC